Molecule: RNase P RNA, 343 nt
Filed under: Bacteriovoracaceae bacterium
Lineage: Bacteria; Pseudomonadati; Bdellovibrionota; Bacteriovoracia; Bacteriovoracales; Bacteriovoracaceae
Description: RNase P RNA component class A
Rfam family: Bacterial RNase P class A
About the family: Ribonuclease P (RNase P) is a ubiquitous endoribonuclease, found in archaea, bacteria and eukarya as well as chloroplasts and mitochondria. Its best characterised activity is the generation of mature 5'-ends of tRNAs by cleaving the 5'-leader elements of precursor-tRNAs.
Source: RNAcentral
CGAGAGAAGAAAAAUUGUCGCUGGUAUGAAGAAAGUGUUUUUUGCAGGGCAACCUGGUGAGAAAUGGCCCUUCAUACGGGAGGAAGGUCCGGACACCAAAUGGCGAAUGUAGCGGGUAACGCCCGUCCAUCGUGAGAUGAGGACUAGUGCAACAGAAAGUAUGUAUGCUCCCUCGGGAGGCGUAGUGAAAUCGGUAAACUCUACAUGGUGCAAGCUCAAAUAGGUUAGCGUUUUAAAGAGGGCCACUCCAGCUAACGGGUAGAGUGCUUGAGGUGAAGAGUAAUUUUCAUCCUAGAGGAAUGACAAUUCAAGACAGAAUCCGGCCUAAAUCUUCUCUCGGCAU